This 497-nucleotide ribosomal RNA is filed under the name uncultured bacterium. RNAcentral's name for it is "partial 16S ribosomal RNA". It matches the Rfam family "Bacterial small subunit ribosomal RNA", at positions 28 to 507 of the family's 1533-position model. The record is from RNAcentral.
GACGAACGCUGGCGGCGUGCCUAAUACAUGCAAGUAGAACGCUGAAGAGAGGAGCUUGCUCUUCUUGGAUGAGUUGCGAACGGGUGAGUAACGCGUAGGUAACCUGCCUGGUAGCGGGGGAUAACUAUUGGAAACGAUAGCUAAUACCGCAUAAAAUGGAUUAUCGCAUGAUAAUCCAUUGAAAGGUGCAAAUGCAUCACUACCAGAUGGACCUGCGUUGUAUUAGCUAGUUGGUGGGGUAACGGCUCACCAAGGCGACGAUACAUAGCCGACCUGAGAGGGUGAUCGGCCACACUGGGACUGAGACACGGCCCAGACUCCUACGGGAGGCAGCAGUAGGGAAUCUUCGGCAAUGGACGGAAGUCUGACCGGGCAACGCCGCGUGAGUGAAGAAGGUUUUCGGAUCGUAAAGCUCUGUUGUAAGAGAAGAACGAGUGUGAGAGUGGAAAGUUCACACUGUGACGGUAUCUUACCAGAAAGGGACGGCUAACUACGUG